Molecule: ribosomal RNA, 253 nt
Filed under: uncultured bacterium
Lineage: Bacteria
Description: partial 16S ribosomal RNA
Rfam family: Bacterial small subunit ribosomal RNA
Source: RNAcentral
UACAGAGGUCCCAAGCGUUGUUCGGAUUCACUGGGCGUAAAGGGUGCGUAGGUGGCCAGGUAAGUCUGAUGUGAAAGCUCGGAGCUUAACUCCGAAAUGGCAUUGGAAACUACUUGGCUCGAGGAUUGGAGGGGGGACUGGAAUACUUGGUGUAGCAGUGAAAUGCGUAGAUAUCAAGUGGAACACCAGUGGCGAAGGCGAGUCCCUGGACAAUUCCUGACACUGAGGCACGAAAGCUAGGGGAGCAAACGGG